This 2895-nucleotide ribosomal RNA is filed under the name Escherichia coli. RNAcentral's name for it is "bacterial LSU rRNA". It matches the Rfam family "Bacterial large subunit ribosomal RNA". Lineage: Bacteria; Pseudomonadati; Pseudomonadota; Gammaproteobacteria; Enterobacterales; Enterobacteriaceae. The record is from RNAcentral.
UUAAGCGACUAAGCGUACACGGUGGAUGCCCUGGCAGUCAGAGGCGAUGAAGGACGUGCUAAUCUGCGAUAAGCGUCGGUGAGGUGAUAUGAACCGUUAUAACCGGCGAUUUCCGAAUGGGGAAACCCAGUGUGUUUCGACACACUAUCAUUAACUGAAUCCAUAGGUUAAUGAGGCGAACCGGGGGAACUGAAACAUCUAAGUACCCCGAGGAAAAGAAAUCAACCGAGAUUCCCCCAGUAGCGGCGAGCGAACGGGGAGGAGCCCAGAGCCUGAAUCAGUGUGUGUGUUAGUGGAAGCGUCUGGAAAGGCGUGCGAUACAGGGUGACAGCCCCGUACACAAAAAUGCACAUAUUGUGAGCUCGAUGAGUAGGGCGGGACACGUGGUAUCCUGUCUGAAUAUGGGGGGACCAUCCUCCAAGGCUAAAUACUCCUGACUGACCGAUAGUGAACCAGUACCGUGAGGGAAAGGCGAAAAGAACCCCGGCGAGGGGAGUGAAAAAGAACCUGAAACCGUGUACGUACAAGCAGUGGGAGCCUCUUAAUGGGGUGACUGCGUACCUUUUGUAUAAUGGGUCAGCGACUUAUAUUCUGUAGCAAGGUUAACCGAAUAGGGGAGCCGAAGGGAAACCGAGUCUUAACUGGGCGUUAAGUUGCAGGGUAUAGACCCGAAACCCGGUGAUCUAGCCAUGGGCAGGUUGAAGGUUGGGUAACACUAACUGGAGGACCGAACCGACUAAUGUUGAAAAAUUAGCGGAUGACUUGUGGCUGGGGGUGAAAGGCCAAUCAAACCGGGAGAUAGCUGGUUCUCCCCGAAAGCUAUUUAGGUAGCGCCUCGUGAAUUCAUCUCCGGGGGUAGAGCACUGUUUCGGCAAGGGGGUCAUCCCGACUUACCAACCCGAUGCAAACUGCGAAUACCGGAGAAUGUUAUCACGGGAGACACACGGCGGGUGCUAACGUCCGUCGUGAAGAGGGAAACAACCCAGACCGCCAGCUAAGGUCCCAAAGUCAUGGUUAAGUGGGAAACGAUGUGGGAAGGCCCAGACAGCCAGGAUGUUGGCUUAGAAGCAGCCAUCAUUUAAAGAAAGCGUAAUAGCUCACUGGUCGAGUCGGCCUGCGCGGAAGAUGUAACGGGGCUAAACCAUGCACCGAAGCUGCGGCAGCGACACUAUGUGUUGUUGGGUAGGGGAGCGUUCUGUAAGCCUGUGAAGGUGGCCUGUGAGGGUUGCUGGAGGUAUCAGAAGUGCGAAUGCUGACAUAAGUAACGAUAAAGCGGGUGAAAAGCCCGCUCGCCGGAAGACCAAGGGUUCCUGUCCAACGUUAAUCGGGGCAGGGUGAGUCGACCCCUAAGGCGAGGCCGAAAGGCGUAGUCGAUGGGAAACAGGUUAAUAUUCCUGUACUUGGUGUUACUGCGAAGGGGGGACGGAGAAGGCUAUGUUGGCCGGGCGACGGUUGUCCCGGUUUAAGCGUGUAGGCUGGUUUUCCAGGCAAAUCCGGAAAACCAAGGCUGAGGCGUGAUGACGAGGCACUACGGUGCUGAAGCGACAAAUGCCCUGCUUCCAGGAAAAGCCUCUAAGCAUCAGGUAACAUCAAAUCGUACCCCAAACCGACACAGGUGGUCAGGUAGAGAAUACCAAGGCGCUUGAGAGAACUCGGGUGAAGGAACUAGGCAAAAUGGUGCCGUAACUUCGGGAGAAGGCACGCUGAUAUGUAGGUGAAGCGACUUGCUCGUGGAGCUGAAAUCAGUCGAAGAUACCAGCUGGCUGCAACUGUUUAUUAAAAACACAGCACUGUGCAAACACGAAAGUGGACGUAUACGGUGUGACGCCUGCCCGGUGCCGGAAGGUUAAUUGAUGGGGUUAGCGGCAACGCGAAGCUCUUGAUCGAAGCCCCGGUAAACGGCGGCCGUAACUAUAACGGUCCUAAGGUAGCGAAAUUCCUUGUCGGGUAAGUUCCGACCUGCACGAAUGGCGUAAUGAUGGCCAGGCUGUCUCCACCCGAGACUCAGUGAAAUUGAACUCGCUGUGAAGAUGCAGUGUACCCGCGGCAAGACGGAAAGACCCCGUGAACCUUUACUAUAGCUUGACACUGAACAUUGAGCCUUGAUGUGUAGGAUAGGUGGGAGGCUUUGAAGUGUGGACGCCAGUCUGCAUGGAGCCGACCUUGAAAUACCACCCUUUAAUGUUUGAUGUUCUAACGUUGGCCCGUAAUCCGGGUUGCGGACAGUGUCUGGUGGGUAGUUUGACUGGGGCGGUCUCCUCCUAAAGAGUAACGGAGGAGCACGAAGGUUGGCUAAUCCUGGUCGGACAUCAGGAGGUUAGUGCAAUGGCAUAAGCCAGCUUGACUGCGAGCGUGACGGCGCGAGCAGGUGCGAAAGCAGGUCAUAGUGAUCCGGUGGUUCUGAAUGGAAGGGCCAUCGCUCAACGGAUAAAAGGUACUCCGGGGAUAACAGGCUGAUACCGCCCAAGAGUUCAUAUCGACGGCGGUGUUUGGCACCUCGAUGUCGGCUCAUCACAUCCUGGGGCUGAAGUAGGUCCCAAGGGUAUGGCUGUUCGCCAUUUAAAGUGGUACGCGAGCUGGGUUUAGAACGUCGUGAGACAGUUCGGUCCCUAUCUGCCGUGGGCGCUGGAGAACUGAGGGGGGCUGCUCCUAGUACGAGAGGACCGGAGUGGACGCAUCACUGGUGUUCGGGUUGUCAUGCCAAUGGCACUGCCCGGUAGCUAAAUGCGGAAGAGAUAAGUGCUGAAAGCAUCUAAGCACGAAACUUGCCCCGAGAUGAGUUCUCCCUGACUCCUUGAGAGUCCUGAAGGAACGUUGAAGACGACGACGUUGAUAGGCCGGGUGUGUAAGCGCAGCGAUGCGUUGAGCUAACCGGUACUAAUGAACCGUGAGGCU